RNAcentral lists this non-coding RNA (28 nucleotides) under Homo sapiens (human). Lineage: Eukaryota; Metazoa; Chordata; Mammalia; Primates; Hominidae. The record is from RNAcentral.
CAAACAAACAACUUUGGGCCUGUGCCGA